This 169-nucleotide ribosomal RNA is filed under the name Ocynectes modestus. RNAcentral describes it as "partial 12S rRNA". The record is from RNAcentral. Lineage: Eukaryota; Metazoa; Chordata; Actinopteri; Perciformes; Cottidae.
CACCGCGGUUAUACGAGAGGCCCACGUUGAUAAACACCGGCGUAAAGCGUGGUUACGUUAGAGUUCAUACUAAAGCCAAACAUCUUCAAAGCUGUUAUACGCAACCGAAGACAGGAAGUUCAACCACGAAAGUAGCUUUAUUAAACCCGAACCCACGAGAGCUAAGGAA